CGGGUGAGUAACGCGUGGGUAACCUGCCCUUUUGUGGGGAACAACUUCGAGAAAUCGGAGCUAAUACCGCAUAAUAAUAGAGGAUCGCAUGAUUCUUUAAGGAAAGAUGGCCUCUGAAGAUGCUAUCGCAAAAGGAUGGACCCGCGUCUGAUUAGCUAGUUGGAAGGGUAACGGCCUACCAAGGCAACGAUCAGUAGCCGGCCUGAGAGGGUGAACGGCCACAUUGGGACUGAGACACGGCCCAAACUCCUACGGGAGGCAGCAG
RNAcentral lists this ribosomal RNA (265 nucleotides) under uncultured bacterium. Its description in RNAcentral is "partial 16S ribosomal RNA". It matches the Rfam family "Bacterial small subunit ribosomal RNA", at positions 103 to 354 of the family's 1533-position model. The record is from RNAcentral.